UACGUAGGGUGCAAGCGUUAAUCGGAAUUACUGGGCGUAAAGCGUGCGCAGGCGGUGAUGUAAGACAGUUGUGAAAUCCCCGGGCUCAACCUGGGAAUUGCAUUUGUGACUGCACGGCUAGAGUGUGUCAGAGGGGGGGUAGAAUUCCACGUGUAGCAGUGAAAUGCGUAGAGAUGUGGAGGAAUACCGAUGGCGAAGGCAGCCCCCUGGGAUAACACUGACGCUCAUGCACGAAAGCGUGGGGAGCAAACAGG
Molecule: ribosomal RNA, 254 nt
Filed under: uncultured bacterium
Lineage: Bacteria
Description: partial 16S ribosomal RNA
Rfam family: Bacterial small subunit ribosomal RNA
Source: RNAcentral